UACGAAGGGUGCAAGCGUUGCUCGGAAUUAUUGGGCGUAAAGGGUAGGUAGGUGGUCUGAUUUGUCUGAGGUGAAAGCCCGGGGCUCAACCCCGGAAGUGCCUUAGAAACGGUUAGACUAGAGUACUGGAGAGGGUCGCGGAAUUCCUGGUGUAGCGGUGAAAUGCGUAGAGAUCAGGAGGAACAUCAGAGGCGAAGGCGGCGGCCUGGACAGGUACUGACACUCAACUACGAAAGCGUGGGUAGCAAACAGG
This 253-nucleotide ribosomal RNA is filed under the name uncultured bacterium. RNAcentral's name for it is "partial 16S ribosomal RNA". It matches the Rfam family "Bacterial small subunit ribosomal RNA", at positions 524 to 776 of the family's 1533-position model. The record is from RNAcentral.